GUGGGGAAUAUUGGGCAAUGGGGGAAACCCUGACCCAGCAACGCCGCGUGAGGGAAGAAGGUUUUCGGAUUGUAAACCUCUGUCCUUGGUGACGAAGGAAGUGACGGUAACCAAGGAGGAAGCCCCGGCUAACUACGUGCCAGCAGCCGCGGUAAUACGUAGGGGGCAAGCGUUGUCCGGAAUGACUGGGCGUAAAGGGCGUGUAGGCGGCCGAUUAAGUCUGGAGUGAAAGUCCUGCUUUCAAGGUGGGAAUUGCUUUGGAGACUGGUUGGCUUGAGUGCGGAAGAGGUAAGUGGAAUUCCCAGUGUAGCGGUGAAAUGCGUAGAGAUUGGGAGGAACACCAGUGGCGAAGGCGACUUACUGGGCCGUAACUGACGCUGAGGCGCGAAAGCGUGGGGAGCGAACAGGAUUAGAUACCCGGGUAGUCC
RNAcentral lists this ribosomal RNA (428 nucleotides) under uncultured bacterium. RNAcentral describes it as "partial 16S ribosomal RNA". It matches the Rfam family "Bacterial small subunit ribosomal RNA", at positions 354 to 796 of the family's 1533-position model. The record is from RNAcentral.